AGUGAACGCUGGCGGUAGGCCUAACACAUGCAAGUCGAACGGCAGCACAGUAAGAGCUUGCUCUUACGGGUGGCGAGUGGCGGACGGGUGAGGAAUACAUCGGAAUCUACUUUUUCGUGGGGGAUAACGUAGGGAAACUUACGCUAAUACCGCAUACGACCUACGGGUGAAAGCAGGGGAUCUUCGGACCUUGCGCGAUUGAAUGAGCCGAUGUCGGAUUAGCUAGUUGGCGGGGUAAAGGCCCACCAAGGCGACGAUCCGUAGCUGGUCUGAGAGGAUGAUCAGCCACACUGGAACUGAGACACGGUCCAGACUCCUACGGGAGGCAGCAGUGGGGAAUAUUGGGCAAUGGGCGAAAGCCUGAUCCAGCCAUACCGCGUGGGUGAAGAAGGCCUUCGGGUUGUAAAGCCCUUUUGUUGGGAAAGAAAAGCAGCAGGUUAAUACCCCGCUGUUCCGACGGUACCCAAAGAAGAAGCACCGGCUAACUUCGUG
RNAcentral lists this ribosomal RNA (492 nucleotides) under uncultured bacterium. RNAcentral's name for it is "partial 16S ribosomal RNA". It matches the Rfam family "Bacterial small subunit ribosomal RNA", at positions 29 to 507 of the family's 1533-position model. The record is from RNAcentral.